Molecule: long non-coding RNA, 4131 nt
Organism: Cygnus atratus (black swan)
Lineage: Eukaryota; Metazoa; Chordata; Aves; Anseriformes; Anatidae
Exons: 3
Source: RefSeq, a predicted model, not a curated record
AGAGCUAUAGCUGAGCAGAGCUGAGGUUGACAGAUGGACUCUGGAAGCAUUCUCCAGCUCUAAGCUGUGGGAAAACAGUCCUUGCAAAAUGCUGAGCACAUCUGGCAGUUGUGGCUGGCCUUUGAAUGGUUCAACAACCAAAUGCUUCAAACUUCAAAUAAUAGCCAACCCUCCUUGCUGUUGCAACUAGCAAAUGUGAAGAGCAGGAAAUAUAAGGAAAUGAUUCAACUUAAAAGAUUUGACAUACCAUCUAUUCAAUCCCAUUUUCUUAAGAGAAAUCGACAAAACUGCUAGAGAACUAUCUUUCAUCCAGUUUCUUUAGAGCUUCAGUCACCAAUGCAAACAAACAGUUUUCAGGAAGGAUGUGACAAUACAGCACAUGGACUGUAAAACAACCCAGAAAAUAGACAUAUUGAAAGAACUCCAACAAUUUUUAAAUCUGUCUCAGAAUUCCAGCAUAAAUUUUCCUGGAAAAAUAGCAGUGCACUUCCCAUGACAGAAGAAGACAGAUGUCACUUCACCUUAUUUUGCAUUCCUGUGGUCAGCACUUCUAAUAACUGCAGUGACAACCCUAGAAAGCCUUAAAUUCUGGGAGUUUUUCAUCUCCUAAGUUCUUCAACUCUCUGAAGGCUGAUGUCUUCUUGGUAACCCUGUAGGUUGGAGGUUGGUCAUGUCAUGUAGGAGCUACAAAGAAUAUCCUUCUGCAGGUUGACCUACACAGCCCAAAUGUGGUGUGUAAUGCUCAAACCCUUUGUGAAAGAUUCAGAUAAUGACCUCUACUUCACAUCCAUCAUUCAGUCAUUACAACAAUAUAUGCUGUAGUUAACACAAGAAUCUUGUCGCUAUUUGAAAAUCACCUCAGUAAUAUCAGCAAAGUACUGAAUCACAGAAUUGUGUGGGUUGGAAGGGACCUUAAAGACCACCUAAUUCAAACCUCUCCCAUGGGCAGAGACACCUCCCCCUGGAUGAGGUUGCCCAAAGCCCCAUACAGUCUGUCCUUGAGGACUUCCAGCAAUUGUGCAUCCAUAACUCCUCUGGGCAGCCUGUUCCAGUGCCUCACAACCCUCAUAGUAAAGAAUUUUUUUCCUAACGUCUAAUCUGAAUCUGCUUUCUUUUAGUGUGUAAAUCCACUCUCCCUUGUCUAUUGUUAUACUCCCUGAUAAAGGAGUCUCUCCCCAUAAGGAAUAGCUCAUCGAAGUCAUGGUAUUUCUCCCAUUUGUACUGGGAAUAGAAAGUGGAUUGUUUUCAUGUCCAGAUGCUAUACCAUCACUAUUACCCUAAUUGCUAGUCUCAUCAAAAAGAUCACAGUUGAAUGGGGAAUGAAAUUGUUUCUGGCGGUUUGCUUGGCCAUUUAUGCAUAGUAAAGGUGCUUUCCUUACUCUUUUCUGAGGUCUACUUGACUGGAGAGAAUAGGUAUGAAUUGUUCCCAAGAUUGCUGAGAUUCUCUUUAAAGAUAUAUUUUAAUAUUCAGAAACAAUAUUGUAUAACUUAAAGGUUGUGGAAUUGCAGUAACUGCUAUGUACAUAGCUAGAUAGGCAGAAAUGAACAACCGUAUUCUGCUGUCAUUCCAUAUGAUAAAGUCUGAAAUUUUGGAUGAUCUAGAAAUCACCUAAGUUGUAGUUUCCUCUCUAGUAUUCUACACAGCAGAAGUCCUCUUUCCCAGAUGAUUUUACUGUUUAAGCCAUGGAUACCUUAGUCCUCUAGGUAUGGUUUCUGAGGAAAAAAGGUACAUGAACAAGGACUACAGUUCUAGGAACACUCCUUCAUCAGCUCUGGUACAUGUGAACAAGGAUUUAACUCCAGUGUAUCUCCUGCAAGUGAUUUUGUGUUUAAAGACCUUUUUUUUGCCUGUUGUAACAACCAAAGGGCAAUGAAAAGGCAAAGAAAAAUGACAAAGCCUUGCAGUUGACUCAUUUCUUCUUCCAGAAACUAAGAACAGUGUAACAAACCAAAAGUGUAUGAUGUACAGCUGACACCAAGCAGCUUCAUCUUCUGCUGUUCAUCCUUUUAUCUGACAUCCUCAGCAUUAUGUACUUUAAUUGUAUCUGUCAUUACGACACUUGAGAUAAGAAUGGGAACUCAAAAAUCAGGGACUUUAUGAAAUCAAAUAGCUAGACAAAGUGAGUGUGGCCCAGCAAUCCCUGAAACCUUACCAAUAAGGAAAGCUUUUGACAGUAAACUGCUGGUUUUGUUUUAGGCAUGAAAAAAGUCUUAAAGACUCUAAAAAUAUGUCAUUUUACUCCUACAUAUAUUGAUUUAUCUGGUGAUGCUAGUUGGCACUUAUUCUUCCUCCAAAUCUGGUUAUUAAUAAAGAAAAUUUUCAAAAUUACAGGGGAAGCAAUGCAUGAAGGGUGAAGGUCCCAAAGGAAAGCAGCUGAGCUAAGUUUGUGUAUCUAAUUCCCUUAUGGUCUUUUCAACUCAUAAACAAAGAAUUCAACAGGGAUUCAUUUAGACUAUAGAAGAAAAUAAAGUUUCUGCAAAAGGCUCAUGCAUUUGUGCAUGAAAUCCAGUCUCUUUAUUCAGCUGGUGUUUUGUGAGCAGUGGUGUAGAAGAAGUCACUCUUCAUAAGGAAAUCACAAAGUGAGCAUUUAAUGUUCACAAAUUGUACCCAGAAACCUACAUCUCAGGAGAUGUAAAAUAUUUAGGGGAACCUAUGUGGCAAAUCUGUGAGAUUAAAUCAUCUAAUCUGACAUUUUGCAUAACGAAGGCAGAGAAUGCCACCUCAUUAUGCCUAUAUUAAGACAAAUAACUUGCGCUUGACCAAAGCAUUUAAGCAUUUCCAGCAAAUCACUGAUCUUAAGACUUUCAGCAAAAGAUUCAUCUAACUAAAUAUUGCCAUCUGCAAUAUGUAUUUCUACAUCUUACCCUGGCCUCCCUUGAAAGUAAUGGCUAAAAGUAACCAUUUGUAGGGAAAAGCACAUCUCGUCCUACAGUAAACAUUUAAAACAAAUUAAAGAAAGAGUGUCUAUUUCCUAACAGUGUCCAUCUCAAGCCAAUGGUAGUCUUUAUAACAAGUCCAGCAAAUUUUGGUUUGGGUGUAGUGUUUAUGAAUAUCUAUAAUACAAUAAAGCAUCAUUUGAAAAAAAUGAAAACAAAAAACAGGUACAUACAAGAAUAUAAAUUAAUAUAAUUAAUCCUACUUAUUCAAAAAAAGAAAAAAAAAUAUUGCCAAUACUUGCUUACUUUGCUGCUAUUAUUUUGUAAACUGACUUACAAAGCUCUUUCAUGUUGGUUGAAUUUGGGCAUUUAAGUCAAUGUGCCCUAAAAAUGCUCCAUAGUAACAUUUAAAUAUAAGGGUUACACUGGAGAUGUAAGCUUUUUGAAAAUUCCUGUGCCUACAACCUAAGAUAUUAUUUCUUCUCAAACAAAAAUAAUAGCAUUCCUAGUCAUAUGCAUGAGCUGGAGUUUACCUAUGAUAUAACUGUUGUAUAAAAAUUACUGGAGCGAUUUACACAGAUCACUAAUCCCUCACACAUACUAAUCUUUCCCUGUGAAAUUAUAAGUCAGAAACAUGGUUAAAUUCCUGGAUUUCUUUAAAUUGUGGUUGCACAGGGAGGAGUUUAAAUGCAUAAGAAAGCCUUUCAAAUGGUCUAUUGAAGGACCAGGUGUGCAGCCUGGAAAUUUCCUCUAAAAAUAUACCUAGAAGUGCGUGUGAAGAAUUAGAAUGUGGCUCUAGCUUUAGAAGUUUCUUUUUUUUUCUUUUUUUUUUUUUUUUUAAAGUAAGUUUUAUUUCCCACAAAUGAUUUGAUAGUUAAAAUUCACAUUUCAUUUACAGACCAAUAAUAUGUUAUACUCACACACAGAGACAGCCUGUCAUUUUACAUAUGGGUUUUGUGAGGCUGCAAUGGCAAUAAAAGAAAACAACCCACAGUCCACAGUUGUGGUGAAAAGGCGGCAGUGCUUCCUGCAAAGUUCCCUUUUGCCAAGUAGCACAGUCAUGAUGAGCAGUGCUCAGAUUAUGUUUUAUCGAUGGUUAAUUUCCAAUCUGGAAGUUCAUUAACUUUGACUCAUAGCAUAAAAGGCCACGACCGAUUAUUAUUCAGAAAAAUCCUGCUGUUUAGCCAAAGACCAUACAGAGCAAUCCCGUACUUGAUGUGCUUGUGAUAAAUGUUCACAUGACAAGGUUAUUUG